UACAGAGGGUGCGAGCGUUAAUCGGAAUUACUGGGCGUAAAGCGUGCGCAGGCGGUUUUGUAAGUCUGUCGUGAAAUCCCCGGGCUCAACCUGGGAAUUGCGAUGGAGACUGCAAGGCUAGAAUCUGGCAAAGGGGGGUAGAAUUCCACGUGUAGCAGUGAAAUGCGUAGAGAUGUGGAGGAACACCGAUGGCGAAGGCAGCCCCCUGGGUCAAGAUUGACGCUCAUGCACGAAAGCGUGGGGAGCAAACAGG
Molecule: ribosomal RNA, 253 nt
Filed under: uncultured bacterium
Lineage: Bacteria
Description: partial 16S ribosomal RNA
Rfam family: Bacterial small subunit ribosomal RNA
Source: RNAcentral